RNAcentral lists this ribosomal RNA (520 nucleotides) under uncultured Glomus. RNAcentral describes it as "SSU rRNA". It matches the Rfam family "Eukaryotic small subunit ribosomal RNA", at positions 569 to 1092 of the family's 1831-position model. Lineage: Eukaryota; Fungi; Glomeromycota; Glomeromycetes; Glomerales; Glomeraceae. The record is from RNAcentral.
AGCAGCCGCGGUAAUUCCAGCUCCAAUAGCGUAUAUUAAAGUUGUUGCAGUUAAAAAGCUCGUAGUUGAAUUUCGGGACCAAUAUGUCGGUCGUGCCUCGGUACGUACUGGUGUCACUGGUUUCUCCCUUCUGAGGAUCCUUGAUGUCAUUAAUUUGGUGUCUUGGGGAAUCAGGACUGUUACCUUGGAAAAAUUAGAGUGUUUAAAGCAGGCAUACGCUUGAAUACAUUAGCAUGGAAUAAUGAAAUAGGACGUUCGAUUCUAUUUUGUUGGUUUCUAGGAUCGACGUAAUGAUUAAUAGGGAUAGUUGGGGGCAUUAGUAUUCAAUUGUCAGAGGUGAAAUUCUUGGAUUUAUUGAAGACUAACUACUGCGAAAGCAUUUGCCAAGGAUGUUUUCAUUAAUCAAGAACGAAAGUUAGGGGAUCGAAGACGAUCAGAUACCGUCGUAGUCUUAACCAUAAACUAUGCCGACUAGGGAUCGGAUGAUGUUAAUUUUUAAUGACUCAUUCGGCGCCUUAAC